CUUUCAUCUCCUACUGCAAGAUUUUUAGAUUCUCUCAAAUAAUUGCUGCAGGAAUGGGUGGCCACGUAGUUACUACUCUGGUAGAAUUUAUUUAGGUUUUGUUUCAGUUCAGUUUUGUUUUUUGAGAGAAAUAGUUAAGUGUAAAAUAGCAUUGUCAAGAUGAGACAAUGACUUAUUAUUUGUUCAUCACAUUUCACCUAAAAUAAUUUGAAGCACUCUUGAAGAUUUUUACCAACACCCAUAAAUUAACUCCAGAAUGAAUGAGCAGCUGAUUUAAUACAAACCAAAAAUAGCAUCAAGUAGAUGUGGUUUUUUUGUUUUAUGUGAGGUUUCACUUCCUGCCUUGUUGCUUAUGUAUCUCCCUUGGAAUACUUGAGAGGGGUUAAUACCCUCGUAGAGAUGAAUGUUCAGAACUUGCUCUCACAGAAGUAAUUGGUGUUGUCACUUGAUAUCAUUGCUGCGUGCAUUGAUUAUAAAAAUCCAGUAUUAACCUUCCUUCAUCUCUGACUGAUCUUUUAACCUUUAUAGGAGUUUUCUUUCCCCUUAAAAUAUUUCACCUUAUUCUGUCAAACAAAUGCAUAUUUUCAUGUUUGAAGCAAGGCGUUGAAAUGAGGUUUAGACACAAAUGGUGCAUCAGUUCCGACCCUCCACAUGGUUGCCUUGCCCUUCCACUAGUGUGUUCUUUGCUUCUGGAACUUGACUGAAACUCUCCAGCCAGUUGCCUUGUCUUGCUGGCCCCGUGAGUACUGAGUCACGUACGUGUGGUUUUGCCGUUGCUACUUUUAAGGUUCUUACAGUGUAUCACUUGCCUAAGUGUUCUAAAUCCUUCUCUUGUGUACCCGAUGGGGAAAAAUCAACAGCCAGCUUUGAGAGGAACCUCUUGGGAACAGUUAUUAACUGACACAACUAAAUGAAGGCAACAGAAGAUGUUAUCAGUGUCCUCUGUAACCUGAAAACUGAACAAGGCUAUGAGGCUCAUUUUAAAAUAUUUUGAAGUGUUAAAAAACCUACACAUAUAUAUCUACGCUGUUUUCGGUCGUUCCACCCAAACCGUUUUAGAAAGGUAAGAUGUCGCAGGGGCUCUUCAGUUGUUAACUGAGCUCAGCAGCGAUGGUGGCCCCUGUUGUUCUACACCAAUUUCAGUUCAAUAAAAAUGUUAACUUUGC
Molecule: long non-coding RNA, 1166 nt
Filed under: Bos taurus (domestic cattle)
Lineage: Eukaryota; Metazoa; Chordata; Mammalia; Artiodactyla; Bovidae
Description: long non-coding RNA NONBTAT023796
Source: RNAcentral